This is a long non-coding RNA of Brassica napus (rape), 1679 nucleotides long. RefSeq lists it as uncharacterized. The transcript is spliced from 5 exons. The record is from RefSeq and is a predicted model, not a curated record. Lineage: Eukaryota; Viridiplantae; Streptophyta; Magnoliopsida; Brassicales; Brassicaceae.
GCCUCUAGGGUUCAUGUUCUUCAAUAAGCGAUCUCUAAAAAAACUUCUGAAGCUUUCUCACACAUCUUCAAUGGUGUGUCGAGGGAUUUGGCUGACUGAAAUCGAGUCGUCUCCCACUAUCCCCCAUUCAAUGGUCCCAUUACUUCCUCAAAGACGAACAAUCCAGACCUACAAAUAAGGGUUCUUAGUCUAUCAGAUCCAUCCACUUCUCAUUAGAAUCCUUAGAAACCCUCACACCAGGAAUGGGUGUCCCAACACUGUCGGAGUCCGAUUGUUUAGAUUCUGGGAAGUCCAAAAUCUUAAGAAAGGCGGCGAACUCAUAGCCUAAGUGUCUAAUGGGUGUCGACAUGCUCCUCAAGUAUUUCCGGUGUCGUGUAACUCUUUUUUUUUUUUUUUUCGAGAAAAAUGUCAUAUAACUAUUUCUUCCUCCUUGCACUACUUUUUUUUAAACUCAAACCAGAGAUUUAAUCUUUUGUUUUAGACCUAUCACAGUCGACAAUGAUUUAAGGUUCUGUUAACGCACACUGGCUCAACACCUUCAAACAGGAAGGCUCAAUGUACUCUGUUACUGGGUUCGACAUUACACGUAGUAACCAAAACUUCAAGCUGUCGGAUUCCAAGCUCUCCGUACGGUUCAAUGAUGAGACCUGAGACGACCGACUUUGCUGAGAUUACCGAAUAGGUUAAUCUGAUACCUUUAGAGUUAUUUCUGCAAUGAGGGAAAUCUGCUUGCUUUUACUAACACCAAUACUUAUCUUCCUGACAUUAUUGGUCAGUUGACCGGGAUCAAAAGCACAUUCAGCGAAGAAGCACACAGCAAAGGCCGUGUUAUGGCAACCAUUAAAAUUCAAAGGCUCAGCCUCAUUCUCAUAUCCAAAAGUUUCUUUAUUGGCGUCUGUUCUCACAUUAAAAGAAUAAAACUUUUAACAUUAGUCCAAACAUUAUACAUGUACAGGGAUGUAUCGGGUUGGUUUCGUGUGUUCAAUGCAAUGGCUACUGCAUUUCUUGAAAAUUACAGAGCUACGGCCUAGACCCAAAGGUUAUUGUGUCAACCCAAAAAUUGUUGGAGGUGGCAGGCAACAGUUAUUUUCAGAGUGCAUUAGGUUGGAGUCAAAUGCCGGCAUAAACCAAAUAACUGCUCCGUCUGUUUUUUAAUUUCUGGGACAGUCAUUACUUCCCAUUUCUUCAGCCCUAUGCUUGAUUUCUCUCACCUUUUCUGAAAUCAAGUUGCAGCACUUUUACAAUGAACUUGUGGAGUACAAGGCUGGUGAUUUUACCGCUCAACAGAGUGAGAUAGAAUCGCAACAAGUGGAUAAAGACGCACUCGAGGCUUUUUGCUGCAUGAAGUACGAAAUUUGCGACUGUUUUACUUCUUCAAGUUGUGUUUUCCACAAACAUCUUUAUACGAAGUCGACAAUGUAUCAUUGAGGAGUUCGUUGUUGAUCCCAACCCUGUGGAGAAGGCUAGCUUCUUAUUUUCCACUCUUAGCUUCUCCUAGACAUUAAAAGUGCGGCAUUUUUCUAUUGCAGGAAUUUGCAUGCUUUUUUAACGUAUAUUUGUUCCCUCAUAGGCUCAUGCAAUUUAGUCUAAAGUUCAUAUGUAGUUUCUUCGUUCUCAUAUGCAUAUGCUUAUAUUUGACAUUUUCCUCUAUCUCUAUUGUUUUAUUUCUGUUCUGGUGA